GUCGAGCGACAGACGAGGAGCUUGCUCCUCUGACGUUAGCGGCGGACGGGUGAGUAACACGUGGGUAACCUACCUAUAAGACUGGGAUAACUCCGGGAAACCGGGGCUAAUACCGGAUAACACAUGAAACCGCAUGGUUUCAUGAUGAAAGACGGUUUUGCUGUCACUUAUAGAUGGACCCGCGGCGUAUUAGCUAGUUGGUAAGGUAACGGCUUACCAAGGCRACGAUACGUAGCCGACCUGAGAGGGUGAUCGGCCACACUGGAACUGAGACACGGUCCAGACUCCUACGGGAGGCAGCAGUAGGGAAUCUUCCGCAAUGGGCGAAAGCCUGACGGAGCAACGCCGCGUGAGUGAUGAAGGUCUUCGGAUCGUAAAACUCUGUUAUUAGGGAAGAACAAGGRUGUAAGUAACUGUGCAUCCCUUGACGGUACCUAAUCAGAAAGCCACGGCUAACUACGUGCCAGCAGCCGCGGUAAUACGUAGGUGGCAAGCGUUAUCCGGAAUUAUUGGGCGUAAAGCGCGCGUAGGCGGUUUUUUAAGUCUGAUGUGAAAGCCCACGGCUCAACCGUGGAGGGUCAUUGGAAACUGGAAAACUUGAGUGCAGAAGAGGAAAGUGGAAUUCCAUGUGUAGCGGUGAAAUGCGCAGAGAUAUGGAGGAACACCAGUGGCGAAGGCGACUUUCUGGUCUGCAACUGACGCUGAUGUGCGAAAGCGUG
RNAcentral lists this ribosomal RNA (719 nucleotides) under Staphylococcus simulans. RNAcentral's name for it is "bacterial SSU rRNA". It matches the Rfam family "Bacterial small subunit ribosomal RNA", at positions 61 to 763 of the family's 1533-position model. The record is from RNAcentral. Lineage: Bacteria; Bacillati; Bacillota; Bacilli; Caryophanales; Staphylococcaceae.